RNAcentral lists this ribosomal RNA (407 nucleotides) under uncultured bacterium. Its description in RNAcentral is "partial 16S ribosomal RNA". It matches the Rfam family "Bacterial small subunit ribosomal RNA", at positions 28 to 526 of the family's 1533-position model. The record is from RNAcentral.
GACGAACGCUGGCGGCGUGCCUAAUACAUGCAAGUCGGACGCAGUUGCGAACGGGUGAGUAACGCGUAGGUAACUGCCUAUUAGUGGGGGCUAACUAUUGGAAACGAUAGCUAAUACCGCCUACUAGUGGAUGUACCUGCGUUGUAUUAGCUAGUAGGGAGGGUACUGCGCUACCUAGGCAAAGGUACCUAGUCGGCCUGGGAAGGGGGUCGGCCAAACUGGGACUGGGACACGGCCCAGACUCAUACGGGAGGGAAGAGGAGGGAAAGUUCGGCAAUGGGGGGAAACCUGAACGAAGAAAGGCGGGUGAUUGAAGAAGGUUUGCGGAGCGUAAAGCUCUGUUGUUAAGGGAGCGGUACUUAACCAGAAAGGAACGGCUAACUACGUGCCAGCAGCCGCGGUAAUAC